Molecule: long non-coding RNA, 318 nt
Filed under: Salmo salar (Atlantic salmon)
Lineage: Eukaryota; Metazoa; Chordata; Actinopteri; Salmoniformes; Salmonidae
Description: lncRNA (ENSSSAG00000102654.1)
Source: RNAcentral
CUGUAUGUAGUGUUAUGCUAUGAGGGUAGGUUAGUGGUAGACAUGUCUGUAUGUAGUGUUAUGAUAUGAGGGUAGGUUAGUGGUAGACAUGCCUGUUUGUAGUGUUAUGAUAUGAGGGUAGGUUAGUGGUAGACAUGUCUGUAUGUAGUGUUAUGAUAUGAGGGUAGGUUAGUGGUAGACAUGUCUGUAUGUAGUGUUAUGAUAUGAGGGUAGGUUAGUGGUAGACAUGUCUGUAUGUAGUGUUAUGAUAUGAGGGUAGGUUAGUGGUAGACAUGUCUGUAUGUAGUGUUAUGAUACGAGGGUAGGUUAGUGUUAGAC